UACGGGGGGGGCAAGCGUUGUUCGGAAUUACUGGGCGUAAAGGGCUCGUAGGCGGCCAACUAAGUCGGAUGUGAAAUCCCCAGGCUCAACCUGGGAACUGCAUCCGAUACUGGAUGGCUUGAAUCCGGGAGAGGGAUGCAGAAUUCCAGGUGUAGCGGUGAAAUGCGUAGAUAUCUGGAGGAACACCAAUGGCGAAGGCAGCUCGCUGGGACGGUACUGACGCUGAGGCGCGAAAGCGUGGGGAGCAAACAGG
Molecule: ribosomal RNA, 253 nt
Filed under: uncultured bacterium
Lineage: Bacteria
Description: partial 16S ribosomal RNA
Rfam family: Bacterial small subunit ribosomal RNA
Source: RNAcentral